AACCCAUGGUGAGGGCAUCUUCACAAAAGGUCCUUGUAUCUCUCUCAUGCGUCAUAGAGUGUUUCUAAAUCCAACUACACAAAAGAGGAAAUAUCGUUACGUAAUUU
Molecule: non-coding RNA, 107 nt
Organism: Gossypium arboreum
Lineage: Eukaryota; Viridiplantae; Streptophyta; Magnoliopsida; Malvales; Malvaceae
Source: Rfam